GGUGGUUCAGUGGUAGAAUUCUCGCCUUCCAUGUGGGAGACCUGGGUUUGAUUCCUGGCC
Molecule: transfer RNA, 60 nt
Filed under: Loxodonta africana (African savanna elephant)
Lineage: Eukaryota; Metazoa; Chordata; Mammalia; Proboscidea; Elephantidae
Rfam family: tRNA
About the family: Transfer RNA (tRNA) molecules are approximately 80 nucleotides in length. Their secondary structure includes four short double-helical elements and three loops (D, anti-codon, and T loops).
Source: Rfam by way of RNAcentral